Molecule: ribosomal RNA, 440 nt
Filed under: uncultured bacterium
Lineage: Bacteria
Description: partial 16S ribosomal RNA
Rfam family: Bacterial small subunit ribosomal RNA
Source: RNAcentral
CCUACGGGUGGUAGCAGUAGGGAAUAUUGCUCAAUGGGGGAAACCCUGAAGCAGCAACGCCGCGUGGAGGAUGACGGUUUUAGGAUUUUAAACUCCUUUUGUGAGAGGAGAUAAUGACGGUAUCUCACGAAUAAGCACCGGCUAACUCCGUUCCAGCCGCCGCGGUAAUACGGAGGGUGCAAGCGUUACUCGGAAUCACUGGGCGUAAAGAGUGUGCAGGUGGGCUGGUAAGUCGGAUGUGAAAGCCUGUAGCUUAACUGUAGAACUGCAAUUGAAACUAUGAGUCUAGAGUUCGGGAGAGGUAGGAGGAAUUCGUGGUGUAGCGGUAAAAUCCUUAGAUAUCACGAAGAACACUGAUUGCGAAGGCAACUUACUAAAACGCUACUGACGCUGAUGCACGAAAGCGUGGGGAUCAAACAGGAUUAGAUACCCGGGUAGUC